UCUGCCUCCGCCCUGCUGGGACCCGCAGCUGGGUCUAAGUGCACGGACGACAGGCGGAUGAGCAGGAGCAAAGUCACGAGGGAUUAGGGGCACCGAGGCAUCACAGCGAAUAAGGAAGGAGUACCCCAAAGUGGUCUGUGUGACACAGCUUUACAAAUGCAGGAGCCCUCGUUUGUAGUUUGGCUGGCAUUUAAGGAAGUACCCGGAAGGAUGGAAGGAGCCAGUGAUUCUUCAGAGGGAGGAAGCUUGAAGAAUCACCAUCAAUUGUAAGAUAACUUUAUAUGUGGACCAUGAAACAGCCCUUUCCCCCGGCAGAUGGCAGUGCCCUUGAGCAGAGUAGGAAGAAAGGUUUGGGAGGAGGAGGCCCUGCACCAAUGUGGAGCUGAAGAGCUUAAUCUGCUCAUUAGACCUGAGCUAAAAGCAGCCUGGAAUUUGCCUUCCCGGGUCCUCAAUGCUGCAUAUUCAACAAGCUACAUAAAGAAAAAAAUAAAGCAAAGAAACAUUGCGUUUUUAUAUCAAAAACAGUGUGAGCAGUUAUCUUUCUGCUACAUUCUCUCCCUGCGGCAAAUUCUGCAGCCCUUUCAAAGAGAUUGAUGAGGAUCCCAAGACAGCCCUGAAGUACAGCAGAACCACAGAUGAAAAACACUUGGCUCCCUGAGUUGCUGCCUGGAGGAGAGUCACCCAGGAUUACAGCUCAGCCUGCAUUAGACUGUGAUAUGGAUGAGAAAUAAACUUUUAUUUUGUUAAGCCA
This is a long non-coding RNA of Galeopterus variegatus (Sunda flying lemur), 751 nucleotides long. RefSeq lists it as uncharacterized. The record is from RefSeq and is a predicted model, not a curated record. NCBI's taxonomy places the organism in Eukaryota, Metazoa, Chordata, Mammalia, Dermoptera, Cynocephalidae. The transcript has 5 exons.